GCCGGUGCCCGAUCGGGACUUCCAGCGCCUGGCGUUUUUGGUGCCGGGGGUGCAGCGGGAGCGCGGCGAAUUCCGGUUCAUCACCGGGGCUCCGGUGC
RNAcentral lists this transfer RNA (98 nucleotides) under bacterium HR09. Its description in RNAcentral is "tRNA-Lys". The record is from RNAcentral.